GAAUUGACGGGGGCCCGCACAAGCGGUGGAGCAUGUGGUUUAAUUUGAAGCUACGCGAAGAACCUUACCAGGUCUUGACAUACUAUGCAAAUCUAAGAGAUUAGACGUUCCCUUCGGGGACAUGGAUACAGGUGGUGCAUGGUUGUCGUCAGCUCGUGUCGUGAGAUGUUGGGUUAAGUCCCGCAACGAGCGCAACCCUUAUUAUCAGUUGCCAGCAUUAAGUUGGGCACUCUGGUGAGACUGCCGGUGACAAACCGGAGGAAGGUGGGGAUGACGUCAAAUCAUCAUGCCCCUUAUGACNUGGGCUACACACGUGCUACAAUGGAUGGUACAACGAGUUGCGAACUCGCGAGAGUAAGCUAAUCUCUUAAAGCCAUUCUCAGUUCGGAUUGUAGGCUGCAACUCGCCUACAUGAAGUCGGAAUCGCUAGUAAUCGCGGAUCAGCAUGCCGCGGUGAAUACGUUCCCGGGCCUUGUACACACCGCCCGUCACACCAUGAGAGUUUGUAACACCCAAAGUCGGUAGAGU
RNAcentral lists this ribosomal RNA (528 nucleotides) under Lactiplantibacillus plantarum. RNAcentral describes it as "bacterial SSU rRNA". It matches the Rfam family "Bacterial small subunit ribosomal RNA", at positions 907 to 1436 of the family's 1533-position model. Lineage: Bacteria; Bacillati; Bacillota; Bacilli; Lactobacillales; Lactobacillaceae. The record is from RNAcentral.